RNAcentral lists this ribosomal RNA (180 nucleotides) under uncultured Glomeromycotina. RNAcentral describes it as "partial small subunit ribosomal RNA". The stretch from base 93 to 180 matches the Rfam family "Eukaryotic small subunit ribosomal RNA", at positions 738 to 828 of the family's 1831-position model. The record is from RNAcentral. Lineage: Eukaryota; Fungi; Glomeromycota.
GACCUGGCUGGGUGGUCUUGCCGAAAGGUAAGCACUGCUCUGGUCGGGUCUUUCCUUCUGGGGAACCUGCGUGCUCUUAAUUGAGUGCGCAGGGGAUCCAGGACUUUUACUUUGAAAAAAUUAGAGUGUUUAAAGCAGGCAAUCGCUUGGAUACAUUAGCAUGGAAUAAUGGAAUAGGAC